Long non-coding RNA from Bactrocera dorsalis (oriental fruit fly), 896 nucleotides. RefSeq lists it as uncharacterized. NCBI's taxonomy places the organism in Eukaryota, Metazoa, Arthropoda, Insecta, Diptera, Tephritidae. The transcript has 3 exons. The record is from RefSeq and is a predicted model, not a curated record.
AGAGAUGUUGACAACAAUCUUGAAGAAUACCGACCCUGUUGAAGUAAUUCAAGAAAACGAGGUUGAAGAGGCACCUCAAACUGCAGAAGAAGAGGUCAUCGAUGAGAAAGACGAAAAAAUACUGCAUUUGGAAACAGAAAUACAAAGGCUGAAUAGUGUUGUUAGCACUUUGAAUAAGUGCAAAAACGAGCAGUUAGCAGAAAUUAAACGCCUCAAGAUUUCCAUUAAAACUGCGGAAUUCCAUAGAAAUAAUUUGGAGCAAAAACUUAGCUGCAUUUUCACUAACGACCAGACACCGCUUACGCGAUUAUAGCCGAGUCAACAACAGCGCGCCAGUCGUUUCUUCUCUUCGCUACGUGGCGCCAAUUGGAUAUUCCAAGCGAGGCCAGGUCCUUCUCCACUUGGUCCUUCCACCGGAGUGAAGGUCUUCCUCUUCCUCUGCUUCCCGCGGCGGGUACUGCGUCGAAUACUUUCAGAGCUGGAGUGUUUUCAUCCAUCCGGACAACAUGACCUAGCCAGCGUAGCCGCUGUCUUUUAAUUCGCUGAACUAUGUCAAUGUCGUCGUAUAUCUCGUACAGCUCAUCGUUCCAUCGAAUGCGAUAUUCGCCGUGGCCAACGCGCAAAGGACCAUAAAUCUUUCGCAGAACUUUUCUCUCGAAAACUCGCAACGUCGACUCAUCGGUUGUUGUCAUCGUCCAAGCCUCUGCACCAUAUAGCAGGACGGGAAUUAUGAGCGACUUAUAGAGUUUGGUUUUUGUUCGUCGAGAGAGGACUUUACUUUUCAAUUGCCUACUCAGUCCGAAGUAGCACCUGUUGGCAAGAGUAAUCCUGCGUUGGAUUUCUAGGCUGACAUUGUUGGUGGUGUUUACGCUGGUUCCUAAAUAGACGAAAUUAUC